CCUACGGGCGGCUGCAGUGGGGAAUAUUGCACAAUGGGGGAAACCCUGAUGCAGCGACGCCGCGUGAGUGAAGAAGUAUUUCGGUAUGUAAAGCUCUAUCAGCAGGGAAGAUAAUGACGGUACCUGACUAAGAAGCCCCGGCUAACUACGUGCCAGCAGCCGCGGUAAUACGUAGGGGGCAAGCGUUAUCCGGAUUUACUGGGUGUAAAGGGAGCGUAGACGGCAGCACAAGUCUGGAGUGAAAUGCCGGGGCUUAACCCCGGAACUGCUUUGGAAACUGUGCAGCUAGAGUGCAGGAGAGGUAAGUGGAAUUCGUAGUGUAGCGGUGAAAUGCGUAGAUAUUAGGAGGAACACCAGUGGCGAAGGCGGCUUACUGGACUGUAACUGACGUUGAGGCUCGAAAGCGCGGGGAGCAAACAGGAUUAGAUACCCCUGUAGUC
RNAcentral lists this ribosomal RNA (440 nucleotides) under uncultured bacterium. RNAcentral's name for it is "partial 16S ribosomal RNA". It matches the Rfam family "Bacterial small subunit ribosomal RNA", at positions 338 to 795 of the family's 1533-position model. The record is from RNAcentral.